GAAUCAGACUAUAGAAAGGAUCAUUUUGCAAGUAAUACCGUUUUGAUCAUACAUGAAUGACGUUAAAAGUUAUUUACGUUUGCAUAAGCUUUGCAGGUUAGUUUGUUUUAGGCAAAGGAUGUUAGCUAGCUUACUUCAGUAAAGUUUCCUUGAAUGUCUUGCUGGAGGAGGUUGAUGUCCUUUCCAUAGUAAUUUGCGGCGGCUAUUCGACUUGUUCCAGAACCAGCGCAACUCCACAGUGUUUCCACCUCCGUCGCUUGUGAACCCAACAUGCAUUGGCUAACAAAGGCGAAACCACAAUAAUCGACAAUAACAGUGAAACCAAAAUUCAUGCAGGCUCGGUCUGGUGUGUCAAUGAAGUGAAGAGGGCUUGUCCAUCGGUACCUAUACCAGUGUCUUACUUGGUCUGGCCAAACACACAGCACCGACAAAUCGCCAUUCACGUAGUCUGGAAGCAGC
Salvia splendens (bonfire salvia) is the source of this 459-nucleotide long non-coding RNA. RefSeq lists it as uncharacterized. NCBI's taxonomy places the organism in Eukaryota, Viridiplantae, Streptophyta, Magnoliopsida, Lamiales, Lamiaceae. The transcript is spliced from 3 exons. The record is from RefSeq and is a predicted model, not a curated record.